AACGAGGGGUUAACCCGUCUCCCCUUCUCCAGUCAAAUGAAAAUUGAUCUGGCCCGGGCGGAAGCGGGACUUCUAUAUACAAGACGAGAAGACCCUUUUGGAGCUUAAAGAUAAAAAGAUCAACCCCGUCAAAGAGUAUAUCAAAAACUAAACUAAAUGGUAUUUGAUCCUUAUCUUCGGUUGGGCGACCACGGGAGAAAAACAAAGCUCCCACGCGGACUGGGACUAAACCCUUAAAACCAAGAAAGACAUUUCUAAGUAGCAGAAUAUCUGACCCAU
This 279-nucleotide ribosomal RNA is filed under the name Hypostomus affinis. RNAcentral's name for it is "partial large subunit ribosomal RNA". The record is from RNAcentral. Lineage: Eukaryota; Metazoa; Chordata; Actinopteri; Siluriformes; Loricariidae.